CCCUUAGAUGUUCUGGGCCGCACGCGUGCUACACUGAGUGGAUCAGCGGGUCAGGUUGCGCGAAAGCGUUUCCUAAUCUUUAAAUCCGCUCGUGAUGGGGAUUGACGGUUGCAAUUUUCUGUCAUGAACGAGGAAUACCUUGUAAGCUCGGGUCAUCAUCCCGCGCUGAAUACGUCCCUGCCCUUUGUACACACCGCCCGUCGCUCCUACCGAUUGAGUGGUCCGGUGAGGCUUUGGGAUCUGAGCGGAAAGAGCGUUUCGCUGUUUCUGCUCGGAAAACUCAGUCGAACCUUAUCAUUUAGAGGAAGGAGAAGUCGUAACA
RNAcentral lists this ribosomal RNA (322 nucleotides) under uncultured eukaryote. RNAcentral's name for it is "partial 18S ribosomal RNA". It matches the Rfam family "Eukaryotic small subunit ribosomal RNA", at positions 1470 to 1796 of the family's 1831-position model. The record is from RNAcentral.